GCGGAUGUUUAUUUCACUUUAAACGCAGACUCGACUGAGAUUCGUUUCCUCCACAGUCCCAGGUGGAAUCAGUAAGACCUGGGUAUGAAGGCAGUAAAUGGAAAGACAAGGGAGAAAGCUGACUGUGGAUUCAGAAGGAGAAUUUGGAAGGAUAAUCAAACAGCUACAGAUGUGGAGAAGCAUCAUGUUUAUAUUCUGUGAAAACAAGUUUGUAAUGACUGAAUUUCAAGAUGAUUAACAAAGCACCCACAACCACUUGAAAAAAAAAUCUGGUUCCAACGGGAAGUGAAGAAUCGUCACACCACCGUAAAGGAGCAAUCUCAUUCUCUGAAGCUGCAGAGAAAAUCAUACUUCAACAUAGAAAAAACAUCAAGUGAAAGAAAGAACCAUAGUUUGAGAAGUGCCAAGCAUUAUCCUCAGAAAACCUCGAUGGGCAUUGUGACCACAGCCAAUCUGCACCUGGCAGGGAUCUAUAAAUAACCUUGGGAUGGAUGAUCAAAUUGUCAUUUUUUUUUGUCUUUAAUGCUUGGCAGGAAUACCUGAGAACUGCUUGCUCUUUUCUGAACCAGGGCCUUGGGAUCUUUUACAUCCACCAGAAUAAGAAAUAAAGUUUUACCUAAAUAGUGAUACUUCAGUGUUGUACUUCAAUGUUCAUUACAGGUUGAAAGGUAAAUGCUGGGCUGCUGCUUGAACAAUCAAGACUGAAUCCCUUUAUAUUCCAAUAUUUCAUUAUUGGAAUAUCCAAUAAUGUAGGAACGUCAAGGAUCUUCUCCACUGUGCCAGGUAAGUGCCAACACCUUCUGCCUGCUGUCUCACAUUGGUGGUAUUUUACCAAGAUCAGAGUCAGGAGUAUCUGUUAGUGAGCACUUCACUGCUGCACCCUGACAGCUGGCCUAGUAGGAACCAUCCCACUUCAUAGACCAGGCUUAGCCCGAGGCAGGAGAUGAGCCCAUGGUGUCAGCAAAUGGGACCUCACUAACACUCAGAAACAGACACAGGAGCAUCGGACAGUUUCAUCAGGGGCACUGGCUAACCUAAUAAAGAUUGCAGGACUGCAACAAUGUGGUUGGAACCUUCCUUCCUCAAGCAUUCAUAAGUAAACUCUCACCAUGGGCAGGCUGAUGGCUGGUAUGCAGGUCAAGCAGCCUCAGUCUGCUGGAUACAUGCACAGAACUGUUUUUCAUCGCUCUAGCUCACCAUCACUGGCAAGGUCACAGGAUGACAAGGAAUCUUGCCCCACUCUAUGCCCCCUUUCCUCAUAUGGUGAAAAGAUGGUGCCAGUAGGGUAGGAACCAUACAUGUCCCGCAGAAGAUUUCUCUUGGGAUCGUCUAGAGAUGGCC
Non-coding RNA from Chiloscyllium plagiosum (whitespotted bambooshark), 1341 nucleotides. NCBI's taxonomy places the organism in Eukaryota, Metazoa, Chordata, Chondrichthyes, Orectolobiformes, Hemiscylliidae. The record is from RefSeq and is a predicted model, not a curated record.